RNAcentral lists this ribosomal RNA (641 nucleotides) under uncultured Alphaproteobacteria bacterium. Its description in RNAcentral is "bacterial SSU rRNA". It matches the Rfam family "Bacterial small subunit ribosomal RNA", at positions 46 to 734 of the family's 1533-position model. Lineage: Bacteria; Pseudomonadati; Pseudomonadota; Alphaproteobacteria. The record is from RNAcentral.
GCUUAACACAUGCAAGUCGAGCGCCCCGCAAGGGGAGCGGCAGACGGGUGAGUAACGCGUGGGAAUCUACCCAUCUCUACGGAAUAACGCAUGGAAACGUGUGCUAAUACCGUAUACGUCCUUCGGGAGAAAGAUUUAUCGGAGAUGGAUGAGCCCGCGUUGGAUUAGCUAGUUGGUGGGGUAAAGGCCUACCAAGGCGACGAUCCAUAGCUGGUCUGAGAGGAUGAUCAGCCACACUGGGACUGAGACACGGGCCCCAGACUCCUACGGGAGGCAGCAGUGGGGAAUAUUGGACAAUGGGCGCAAGCCUGAUCCAGCCAUGCCGCGUGUGUGAUGAAGGCCCUAGGGUUGUAAAGCACUUUCACCGGAGAAGAUAAUGACGGUAUCCGGAGAAGAAGCCCCGGCUAACUUCGUGCCAGCAGCCGCGGUAAUACGAAGGGGGCUAGCGUUGUUCGGAUUUACUGGGCGUAAAGCGCACGUAGGCGGACUAUUAAGUCAGGGGUGAAAUCCCGGGGCUCAACCCCGGAACUGCCUUUGAUACUGGUAGUCUUGAGUUCGAGAGAGGUGAGUGGAAUUCCGAGUGUAGAGGUGAAAUUCGUAGAUAUUCGGAGGACACCAGUGGCGAAGGCGGCUCACUGGCU